UCGAGAAUCAUUCACAAUGGGGGAAACCCUGAUGGUGCGGCGCCGCGUGGGGGAUAAGGUCUUCGGAUUGUAAACCCCUGUCAUGUGGGACAUUAAAAGAUAGUACCACAAGAGGAAGAGACGGCUAACUCUGUGCCAGCAGCCGCGGUAAUACAGAGGUCUCAAGCGUUGUUCGGAAUCACUGGGCGUAAAGCGUGCGUAGGCGGUUUCGUAAGUCGUGUGUGAAAGGCGGGGGCUCAACCCCCGGACUGCACAUGAUACUGCGAGACUAGAGUAAUGGAGGGGGAACCGGAAUUCU
Molecule: ribosomal RNA, 298 nt
Filed under: uncultured bacterium
Lineage: Bacteria
Description: partial 16S ribosomal RNA
Rfam family: Bacterial small subunit ribosomal RNA
Source: RNAcentral